GCAGCAUAGGAGCUUGCUCCUGAUGGCGAGUGGCGAACGGGUGAGUAAUAUAUCGGAACGUGCCCUAGAGUGGGGGAUAACUAGUCGAAAGACUAGCUAAUACCGCAUACGAUCUACGGAUGAAAGUGGGGGAUCGCAAGACCUCAUGCUCCUGGAGCGGCCGAUAUCUGAUUAGCUAGUUGGUGGGGUAAAAGCCUACCAAGGCAACGAUCAGUAGCUGGUCUGAGAGGACGACCAGCCACACUGGGACUGAGACACGGCCCAGACUCCUACGGGAGGCAGCAGUGGGGAAUUUUGGACAAUGGGGGCAACCCUGAUCCAGCAAUGCCGCGUGAGUGAAGAAGGCCUUCGGGUUGUAAAGCUCUUUUGUCAGGGAAGAAACGGUAGUAGCGAAUAACUAUUACUAAUGACGGUACCUGAAGAAUAAGCACCGGCUAACUACGUGCCAGCAGCCGCGGUAAUACGUAGGGUGCAAGCGUUAAUCGGAAUUACUGGGCGUAAAGCGUGCGCAGGCGGUUGUGUAAGUCAGAUGUGAAA
Molecule: ribosomal RNA, 537 nt
Filed under: Herbaspirillum huttiense subsp. huttiense
Lineage: Bacteria; Pseudomonadati; Pseudomonadota; Betaproteobacteria; Burkholderiales; Oxalobacteraceae
Description: bacterial SSU rRNA
Rfam family: Bacterial small subunit ribosomal RNA
Source: RNAcentral